This 371-nucleotide long non-coding RNA is filed under the name Glycine max (soybean). RNAcentral describes it as "long non-coding RNA (GMAX_LNC004400)". Lineage: Eukaryota; Viridiplantae; Streptophyta; Magnoliopsida; Fabales; Fabaceae. The record is from RNAcentral.
AUGCACACACCAUUCCAAACCCCAAGGUACCUAAAAUAUAUAUUUCAAGUAUAAAGCCAAAUACCAAUUAAUUAGGAAAUCUCAAGACAUAGUUAGUUCUACAUCGCUAUUAGGCAUAUUAUUAUAGAAGAGUGAUUCAAUUACUCUUUGGACGAUGCUGCUAAUCAAUUUUGGACCACGAGGCAAAUGUAUAAAAAUAUUGUUAUAAAGUAUGUCAAGGUGAGAGAUGAGCAUAAAAGUUUUUUUCUUCUUUGUUUCUGGCUUAAAGUUCAUUUCUGUUUUAAGUGUCCCUUUCUUUUCUCUUACCUUCCUUUUUAGUUGUCUUGUUCUGGCGUGUGAUUAGAAGGAUUAAUAAAAUUAGUUUGACAUAA